AACGAACGCUGGCGGCAGGCCUAACACAUGCAAGUCGAGCGAGGACUUCGGUUCUAGCGGCGGACGGGUGAGUAACGCGUGGGAAUGUGCCCUUCUCUACGGAAUAGCCCUGGGAAACUGGGAGUAAUACCGUAUACGCCCUAUUGGGGAAAGAUUUAUCGGAGAAGGAUCAGCCCGUGUUGGAUUAGGUAGUUGGUGGGGUAAUGGCCUACCAAGCCGACGAUCCAUAGCUGGUUUGAGAGGAUGAUCAGCCACACUGGGACUGAGACACGGCCCAGACUCCUACGGGAGGCAGCAGUGGGGAAUCUUAGACAAUGGGGGCAACCCUGAUCUAGCCAUGCCGCGUGAGUGAUGAAGGCCUUAGGGUUGUAAAGCUCUUUCAGCUGGGAAGAUAAUGACGGUACCAGCAGAAGAAGCCCCGGCUAACUCCGUG
This 433-nucleotide ribosomal RNA is filed under the name uncultured bacterium. Its description in RNAcentral is "partial 16S ribosomal RNA". It matches the Rfam family "Bacterial small subunit ribosomal RNA", at positions 29 to 507 of the family's 1533-position model. The record is from RNAcentral.